UCAGGCCUAACACAUGCAAGUCGAACGGCAGCACGGACUUCGGUCUGGUGGCGAGUGGCGAACGGGUGAGUAAUGUAUCGGAACGUGCCUAGUAGCGGGGGAUAACUACUCGAAAGAGUAGCUAAUACCGCAUACGCCCUGCGGGGGAAAGGGGGGGAUCGCAAGACCUCUCACUAUUAGAGCGGCCGACAUCGGAUUAGCUAGUUGGUGAGGUAAAGGCUCACCAAGGCGACGAUCCGUAGCUGGUUUGAGAGGACGACCAGCCACACUGGGACUGAGACACGGCCCAGACUCCUACGGGAGGCAGCAGUGGGGAAUUUUGGACAAUGGGGGCAACCCUGAUCCAGCCAUUCCGCGUGUGCGAUGAAGGCCUUCGGGUUGUAAAGCAAUGUGGCAGGAAAGAAAUCGCACGGGUUAAUAACCCGUGUGG
Molecule: ribosomal RNA, 430 nt
Filed under: uncultured bacterium
Lineage: Bacteria
Description: bacterial SSU rRNA
Rfam family: Bacterial small subunit ribosomal RNA
Source: RNAcentral